AUUGAACGCUGGCGGCAGGCCUAACACAUGCAAGUCGAGCGGAUGAAGGGAGCUUGCUCCUGGAUUCAGCGGCGGACGGGCGAGUAAUGCCUAGGAAUCUGCCUGGUCGUGGGGGAUAACGUCCGGAAACGGGCGCUAAUACCGCAUACGUCCUGAGGGAGAAAGUGGGGGAUCUUCGGACCUCACGCUAUCAGAUGAGCCUAGGUCGGAUUAGCUAGUUGGUGGGGUAAAGGCUUACCAAGGCGACGAUCCGUAGCUGAUCUGAGAGGAUGAUCAGUCACACUGGAACUGAGACACGGUCCAGACUCCUACGGGAGGCAGCAGUAGGGAAUAUUGGACAAUGGGCGAAAGCCUGAUCCAGCAAUGCCGCGUGUGUGAAGAAGGUCUUCGGAUUGUAAAGCACUUUAAGUUGGGAGGAAGGGCAGUAAGUUAAUACCUUCCUGUUUUGACGUUACCAACAGAAUAAGCACCGGCUAACUUCGUG
This 484-nucleotide ribosomal RNA is filed under the name uncultured bacterium. RNAcentral describes it as "partial 16S ribosomal RNA". It matches the Rfam family "Bacterial small subunit ribosomal RNA", at positions 30 to 507 of the family's 1533-position model. The record is from RNAcentral.